UUCCCUCCCGAGUUCUGCACUCGCCAUUUCUUCUGCACCCCUGUAGGGACUGGCACAGCACUUAGCGCCUGAUGGAGUUGGGCCUGGAGCAUAUGACAACUGUGAUCAAUCAGACUUAGAAAGGGGACGAGGUACUUUGGACCCUUGCCGUCCAAACUGAAUGAUGCCACAGUGCGCAGGUCCACCCUUGGGAUGGGAUUUCUUUUAGCUCCACUAAUGCUACCUUCUUACUCGGUCAGACAAUCAGAAAAUCGGUGUUCAGAAACUCAAAGACCUAACAGCUAACCAGUAACAACAGCCUCCAGGCUGCGCAUAAUCAGUUCGCACAAAGGCUCUGAAGUACAUGACAUACUGCAAAGAGAACAUCAAAAUCUGCUGUGCCAUAUGAUCA
Molecule: long non-coding RNA, 391 nt
Organism: Rhea pennata
Lineage: Eukaryota; Metazoa; Chordata; Aves; Rheiformes; Rheidae
Exons: 4
Source: RefSeq, a predicted model, not a curated record